RNAcentral lists this transfer RNA (61 nucleotides) under Bactericera cockerelli (potato/tomato psyllid). RNAcentral's name for it is "tRNA-Ala". It matches the Rfam family "tRNA". Rfam says of the family: Transfer RNA (tRNA) molecules are approximately 80 nucleotides in length. Their secondary structure includes four short double-helical elements and three loops (D, anti-codon, and T loops). The record is from RNAcentral. Lineage: Eukaryota; Metazoa; Arthropoda; Insecta; Hemiptera; Triozidae.
AGGAUUAUAGUUUAAAAAACAUCUAAAUUGCAAUUAGAAGAUAUAAUUGUUAUUAAUCUGA